AACGAACGCUGGCGGCGCGCCUAAUACAUGCAAGUCGAGCGAGAAGACGUAGCAAUACGUUUGUAAAGCGGCGAACGGGUGAGGAAUACAUGGGUAACCUACCCUCGAGUGGGGAAUAACUAGCCGAAAGGUUAGCUAAUACCGCGUACGCUCCUUGGACUUCGGUUCAGGGAGGAAAGCGAUACCGUGGGUAUCGCGCUCUUGGAUGGGCUCAUGUCCUAUCAGCUUGUUGGUGAGGAACGGCUCACCAAGGCUUCGACGGGUAGCUGGUCUGAGAGGACGAUCAGCCACACUGGCACUGCGACACGGGCCAGACUCCUACGGGAGGCAGCAGUAAGGAAUAUUGCUCAAUGGCCGAAAGGCUGAAGCAGCAACGCCGCGUGGAGGAUGAAAUAC
This 396-nucleotide ribosomal RNA is filed under the name uncultured bacterium. Its description in RNAcentral is "bacterial SSU rRNA". It matches the Rfam family "Bacterial small subunit ribosomal RNA", at positions 29 to 416 of the family's 1533-position model. The record is from RNAcentral.